ACAGCAAGAAACUAGGUUCUGCCGACAAUCUGAAUGGGCCUGGAAGUGGAUUCUUCCCAUGACCAACCAAUUAGAGCCACCUGGACAACACCUUGACUUUCACCCUGGCAAGACCCUGGGUGGAGAAAACCAGUCCAGCUGUCUGGACCCUGGACCUGUAAAGCUGUGAGAUCUUAGAGCACUGUUUACAAAAACCAAGACAUGGGAGCAACCUGAAUGUCCAUCGACAGAUGAGCGGACAAAGACGAUGCGGUACACAUACACAGUGGAAUACUACUCAUCCCUAAAAAAGUAAUGCCGUUGGCAGCGACGUGGAUUGCUAGAGAUUAUCAUACUAAGUGAAAGAAAUACCAAGAGAAGUGAAAUGAAGACCUUCUCCACCUCACUUUUCUAAGAAUGAGGAGGCCUCCCUGCUAAUCCCCCACCAGUCACUUCAGAGCCUCCCAAAGAGGGAAACCCAUCGUACGUUCCAAAGAGAGAAGACCGUACAUCUCACCGGACAAUACAUGUGACACCAGAGCAGUGAUUGUGACAUCCAGGUCCCUGGACCCCAGGCCAGAACCUGCAAGGCCAGAUCCUCCAGGGCAGAGGUCUAAGGACCUGAAUUUUUAACCAGCACCCCAAGUGAAUCCCGUCUAUAGUCUAGGAAACAGUGAACCCAAAGCUGGGCCUCUCUGAGGUCCCUUCCUACUUGACACAGCUUGUGUUGUAGCCUGAAGAGCUUCAUGCUAACUUGCAUACCCACCCUACCAACAUCCCCUGAGCGCUGUGCUGGGCAGGUGGAGGGGCUGCAGAGUUGCAGGCAGGGCACCCCCCACAAAACACACACCCCCACCCUUGCUCAGCUCCAGUGCUGCCAUUUUUAUCAGAACCCAGGCCCUGGAGGCACAGGACCAAAUGAGACCACAUUGUUAGAGAUCUGUCUUUCUCCCUGAUGAGGUUCUACGCUAUGGGAGGAAAGAAGCCCAGUUCACUCAUUUUUAUUGGUUAACUCCCUCCUAUCACCCCCUCCCUGCGGCUGACGCUUUCGAGACUUUCAGUAAUUGUCAGCUGAAUGAAUAAAUUAAUGACAAAGGGAGACAGAUGUGUUAACAGCUAACAGUAAUUUGAGCAGAAUGGAGUGAUACCUGUUUUCUGAAGUGGUUGCAGCCAAAAAAAAGUACAUUCUUUUCGCACAUAAAUGAAGACAGUGCGUCAGCUGGUAUGGUACUCCAUGGUAUAAGAUCCUUCCAUUGUGCUUCAUUCUCCUCUGCACAGGACUGGAGCUGCUUAAACUCCCAGAAGACUGCUUGAGCUCCAGCCAUCACAUCUAAAUUCCAGCCAACAAAAAGGAGGAAAAAAAAAAGUUUCACCCUUUUCCUUUGAAUAUACUUUCAGAAAGUCACACUAGCCACUUCCUCUUAUUUCCCAGUGGCCAGACUUAAUCUCAUGGACACAAUAAACUGCAAAUGAUUGUAGGAAAUGUAGUCUUUAUUCUCGGUACCAACAUGCCCAGCUAAAAGUUGAGAGUUCCAUCAUGAAGGAAGAAGAGAGAAUAGAUUUGUAGGACAAUGAACAAUCUCUGCCAUAGAC
This is a long non-coding RNA of Bos taurus (domestic cattle), 1572 nucleotides long. The record is from Ensembl. Lineage: Eukaryota; Metazoa; Chordata; Mammalia; Artiodactyla; Bovidae.